RNAcentral lists this long non-coding RNA (991 nucleotides) under Numida meleagris (helmeted guineafowl). Its description in RNAcentral is "lncRNA (ENSNMEG00000009015.1)". The record is from RNAcentral. Lineage: Eukaryota; Metazoa; Chordata; Aves; Galliformes; Numididae.
GAAAAAUAGUCUUUUGUAGCUGAGAAUUUCCUCUAUCAGAUAGUGGUGGUGUGUUCUUUGUGGCUGCUGUAGUUUCCAUGGAAAUAAAUAAGAGACAUUACUUUUGGAACAACCCGUGUGUGUGUGUACACGCAUACAUACAUACAUACAUACAUAUACACCUCUCUUCUGGUAGCACAGCAAUGUAAAAAAAAAUGUUUUGUGGGGGACUUCAUAGCUGCAUAUGUAACAGCUGCCUUCCUUUCUCUCAGAAAAGAUAUAAAGGAUUGUUUUUCCUUUUACAGUGAUCCCUUAAGUCAUGGCAACCUUCUCCAAUUGCCAUUAAUUCAACACCCUGACAACUUAAAGACAACAGCAGCACAUGAGGUCUAAAAGGAAUUGUGUCUAAUUUUCACCGCUAAUGCAUUGUAUCUGCAGAAUUGAUAUUAAAGGCCUCCCUCCACAUUCACAUAUAAGAAAUGGAUUGACUUGCUACAAAAAUUUUUAUACACAACAUGGGAAAGCAUUUACAACCUCAACCUUGUCUCAGAACUAAAAGAGCAGAUGAGAAUGGAUGAAAUACAACCUUUACUAAUCUGCCUACUCCUAAACAGUUAUUAGAUCUUCAGCAUAGCUAAUUGCCUCAAGAUCUAAUAAGUUAGUGAUGAUGUACGUUGAGCACCAGUGACCCCUUGCCAAAAGAAAUAUUAUGUCGCACCAAAGUUUAAGGAGAUAUGGUCUCAUGCAUAAUAUUCCUACGGAUGAUACACUAAGGGCCUUGCCUACUACAAUCAAAGCUACUGGACUCUGUGGUACAUCACACAUCACAGUCAGACUACUUCUCUCUGGCUAGUUAUGAUUAUCCUUUGCAGAUCUGAAUCUGCCGCUUACAUGGACUGUGUUCACAAAUGAGUUUUGUGACUAUCUAAGAGUACAGAUGAAGGUUCAGGCUUGAACUGAGGACUCAACCUGAAUAUGAUACAUUUAAUAAAGCUGAAUUUCCUGAGGAAGA